Hydra vulgaris (swiftwater hydra) is the source of this 647-nucleotide non-coding RNA. NCBI's taxonomy places the organism in Eukaryota, Metazoa, Cnidaria, Hydrozoa, Anthoathecata, Hydridae. The record is from RefSeq and is a predicted model, not a curated record.
GUGCAACAACAACCUGGUAAGAAAUUAAUUUUAUACGUUUUUCAAUAAUCUUUUUUUUAUAAAAAACCUAUUUUCAUUUGUUGUGCUGUUGAUAUCAAAUUGUUUUUCUAAUACUUAAUUAUUACUUUUUAUCUCUUUUUAUAUUUUAACUAGAAACACAACAAUUACAAUAUGGUAAGAAAAAACCUUUUGGUUUAUUGAAUGUAAAUCUUUUUUUUAAAAGUUCUUAAUAAUUUGCUUUUUCUUUUUCUUUACUAUAGUAUUUUUUUUUAGUUCUGUAUUAAUUUUUUUAGGACAACAAUAACAACCACAAUCAGAAUCAAUAGCUCAUGUUAUUUUAGUGCAAUCUAUGGAAGAAAUGUUUAAUAAUUUUUUAAGGAAGAUGAAGAAGCAAUCCUGUAUGAAACUACCUUUUACUUUAGAAAUUUAUAACUUGGUUCUUUCCAAAAAAUAAUUGAUUAUAUGCAUACAUAUGGUGGUGGUAUACACAUCACCAUAUUACGUAAACAUAUUGUUUUAUUUAAACAUAUAAAAGAAUUUAGCUUCUUUUUUUAUUGUAAAGUUUCUUAUGUAUUAUGAAAUCAUAGAUCAAUCAUUUUUUGAUUAUAUAUAGCCCGAACACCAUUUUUUUCUUUUUGUUAGGGGAG